This 459-nucleotide ribosomal RNA is filed under the name uncultured bacterium. RNAcentral's name for it is "bacterial SSU rRNA". It matches the Rfam family "Bacterial small subunit ribosomal RNA", at positions 338 to 795 of the family's 1533-position model. The record is from RNAcentral.
CCUANGGGUGGCUGCAGUGAGGAAUAUUGCGCAAUGUCCGAAAGGGUGACGCAGCGACGCCGCGUGGAGGAUGAAGGCCCUAUGGGUCGUAAACUCCUUUUGAGGGGGAAGAAUAGUCUCGUAUAGCGAGAUUUGACGGUACCCCUAGAAAAAGCACCGGCCAACUACGUGCCAGCAGCCGCGGUAAUACGUAGGGUGCAAGCGUUGUCCGGAAUUACUGGGUGUAAAGGGAGCGCAGGCGGGUUGACAAGUCGUUGGUGAAAUUCUGAGGCUCAACCUCAGAACUGCCAAUGAUACUGCCGAUCUUGAGUACAGAAGAGGAAGACGGAAUUCCUGGUGUAGCGGUGAAAUGCGUAGAUAUCAGGAAGAACACCGGUGGCGAAGGCGGUCUUCUGGUCUGUAACUGACGCUAAUGCUCGAAAGCGUGGGGAGCAAACAGGAUUAGAUACCCCUNUANUC